UUUUCAAAAAAAUUGACCGUAUGGCUCAGUGGGAUUCUCGGCGUCUACCAAUCUCACGGCCCGGGUUCGA
Molecule: non-coding RNA, 70 nt
Organism: Caenorhabditis elegans
Lineage: Eukaryota; Metazoa; Nematoda; Chromadorea; Rhabditida; Rhabditidae
Source: Ensembl